This 255-nucleotide unclassified non-coding RNA is filed under the name uncultured Ktedonobacterales bacterium. Its description in RNAcentral is "contains 16S-23S intergenic spacer region". It matches the Rfam family "Bacterial small subunit ribosomal RNA", at positions 524 to 776 of the family's 1533-position model. The record is from RNAcentral. Lineage: Bacteria; Bacillati; Chloroflexota; Ktedonobacteria; Ktedonobacterales.
UACGUAGGAGACGAGCGUUGUCCGGAGUUACUGGGCGUAAAGGGUGCGCAGGCGGCCUGAUGCGCGUCGCGAGUGAAAUCUCCCGGCUCAACUGGGAGGGGGGUCGCGAGACGGCGAGGCUUGAGGCUCGGAGAGGGGCGUGGAAUUCCGGGUGGAGCGGUGAAAUGCAUAGAGAUCCGGAGGAACACCAACGGCGUAGGCAGCGCCCUAGACGAGACCUGACGCUGAGGCACGAAAGCGCGGGGAGCGAACAGG